This 679-nucleotide long non-coding RNA is filed under the name Phasianus colchicus (ring-necked pheasant). Its description in RNAcentral is "lncRNA (ENSPCLG00000007252.1)". Lineage: Eukaryota; Metazoa; Chordata; Aves; Galliformes; Phasianidae. The record is from RNAcentral.
AAUAGCUCUCUUUUCCUCUAUCCUUGAGGAGGAUCUCAGCUUUUUUUGGCUGCUUUUGAUCUUUGAUUUUUUUUUUUUUUUUUGCUAAGUAUCUGAUCUUGAGAUAUUUUAAGUCAUAGCAUCAUUAUAACAUAUGAAGUUAAAGGAAAUGACCUGUUUAGAUCUCUUCCACCUAGCUUCCCAUUUGUUUAAGAGGAUUUGACUAUUUGCAUUGCAAGACCAGAUAUAGUAUUUUUUUUCACUACCACUUCCAUUACUCCUGUUAAUUUUACUGCUUUGGGCUAUGUUAAAUUUGCUUUUACCAGGAAUCAUCUUUGAAAUAUCUCAUUAUUAACAGUGCAUUCAUUCUCUCAGCAUGUUCUUUAGGACAUUUCUAAAUAGGCAAUAUUUCAUUAAUGUUUUAGGCUGUCACGUACACAAUUAUAUUAUCAUAGAGCUAUAAUACCGUUUUGCCUCUUCCUAUCACGGACUAUUUUACAGUGAUGUUAGUCUUGAUGUGUGUUUUUUGCAAUCCUUUACAGGUCUUCUGAAGUCUCAUCUGGUUUCUGAGUCUGCUACGAACUGCUUAAGACAGGCUCUGGAAACUGUAUCAAAGUAUGAAGGGAAGAGAGAAACUGUGUCAUUGUCCUCAGACUAUAUUCUCAGGUAUUUAAUUUCAUAAAGCUUAAUUUUUCUUGCC